UACGGGAGGCAGCAGUGGGGAAUAUUGCACAAUGGGCGAAAGCCUGAUGCAGCUAUGCCGCGUGUAUGAAGAAGGCCUUAGGGUUGUAAAGUACUUUCAUCGGGGAGGAAAAAACAAAACUAAUAAUUUUAUUUCUUGACGUUACCCGAAAAAGAAGCACCGGCUAACUCCGUGCCAGCAGCCGCGGUAAUACGGAGGGUGCUAGCGUUAAUCAGAAUUACUGGGCGUAAAGAGCACGUAGGUGGUUUUUUAAGUCAGAUGUGAAAUCCCUGGGCUUAACCUAGGAACUGCAUUUUGAAACUGAAAUACUAGAGUAUCGUAGAGGGAGGUAGAAUUCUAGGUGUAGCGGUGAAAUGCGUAGAUAUCUGGAGGAAUACCUGUGGUGAAAGCGGCCUCCUAAACGAAUACUGACACUGAGGUGCGAAAGCGUGGGGAGCAAACGAGGAUUAGAUACC
RNAcentral lists this ribosomal RNA (455 nucleotides) under uncultured bacterium. Its description in RNAcentral is "bacterial SSU rRNA". It matches the Rfam family "Bacterial small subunit ribosomal RNA", at positions 340 to 786 of the family's 1533-position model. The record is from RNAcentral.